Astyanax mexicanus (Mexican tetra) is the source of this 1696-nucleotide long non-coding RNA. RefSeq lists it as uncharacterized. The transcript has 2 exons. The record is from RefSeq and is a predicted model, not a curated record. Lineage: Eukaryota; Metazoa; Chordata; Actinopteri; Characiformes; Acestrorhamphidae.
UUGAUCUCCUCUGUUCCUGUUAACUGGCAUUUCUUAGUUAUUUUAUGAAGUAAGGAAAUAGCUUUCUGAUCAGGUUUUGUUACGUUCUUAUAGCCUUCUCCUGCUUUGUAGGAUUUUUUUUUUCUCAGAGCGGUAGGUCGAAGGCCGGGGAUGUCCACACCUGCUAAUAAAACUAUGAAAUUUGCAUCACCUACAAUUUAUACAAAUCCCACAUAGUAAAUUUGCAUGUUAAUGUUUACACUGUUACUGUUAAAUUAACUGUAAUAAUGUUACCAUAUAAUACUCACUGUGUUGAUUUAACACUAAACAUGUUAAUUUAGCACUGUCAAAUUUUUCUGUGUAGAUUAAUAAGAGUUUGUAAAGGAACUUCUUGAGUUUCUCUGAGUGAUAAAUUGCCUGAGUGAACCCUUCUGUCUACCCCUUUCCUCCAAACUCUUACAUUUCCCUUCUAAGCUGUUUUAGUCUAAUUCCUCUAAAGAACAGCCAUACUACUCUCUCCCACUGAUAUUUACCCCACUCCUUUUCCGACAGGCCCCGCCCCUGCGCUCCCUGGGAUUGGCUAAUGAGAUCCGCCACCUGCUUUAGGAUUGGCUGGUUGUUCAGGAUCACCUGCACUCUCUCCAUCUGAAUAUGAGCUAUCAGCCAAUCCUAGCAAAGGGAGUCUGAUUACUGGUGGAGGAAAAAACUCGUGAAUCCUGCUUCGCUAUCGGUACCGAGCAGACAUCCGGGCUCAGGAAACAAGUGGGCCGGCCCGCGUGCGCCUGCGGGAGAACCGCAAAUAAACGAGCUCGAGAGAAUGAGAGAGAGAGAGGGAGAGAGAGAGAGCACAGCCCUGCAGGAUGAACACUAAGAGUCGAAAACACCUGAGAAGUAAGAAUAAGUGGAGCGGGAUUGAAAAGUGUGGGACUUACCAGCCGGCGUUUGGGUCUGAUGAGAGGUCUGUUCUGGCCAUUCAUCUUGUGAUAGAGUCCACAAGCAUUACACAAGUAAUGACCGGUGCCGUCCCGCCGCCACAAAGGAGUGGAAGUAGCCCCACAAUUAACACACUCUCGUCCCUCUGACAUAAGCACGCACACACACAAACACACACACACAAACACAAGAGAUAAGUCAGGACAGGAAAUUGGAAGCAGUCAACUUUUCACCUUUUGCAUCUAGAACAUAGUUGAACCUGUGUAUUUAGAUCUGUGUUAGUUAUGAAGUUACAAAUAGACAUGUUUAAGUUAGGACACAAGUUUUUACUGUGCAUCACACAUCAACACUGAUGUUUAAACACUUCACCUACAGGUAAGUGUGGUUCUUUGGUUCUUUUACAGCGUCACUCCAAUUAACACUUUUCCCAACAUAACUUUCCAAUAAAUAGAUGUGCCCAAGUUUAUCUAAACUUUUUUAGCUUUUUGGAAAGGGCUUUUACCACAUUGCAACUAUUGCAAACACAUACAAUGGUAGGAAUGUGUUUGUUAAACUCUGCUUUCUUGGUGAUCAUGUUUAAGAUCUGGUAAAGGAAACUACUAGGAAACUAAAUAAGUACUAUGAAAUGUCCUAAAUGUCCAGAUUUAAUAGAUAACAUUAUACCCUUUGACCCUGCUCUAUUCAGACAAUUUCAGUCAGUUAUAGCCUAAAUGUUUACACUAAAACUAAAAGGUUUCCACAUAUGUUUGAUAUAGAUGAUUAAAAAUAAAUAUAUGUCAAAAAA